GGGUCUAAUACCGGAUAUGACUCCUCAUCGCAUGGUGGGGGGUGGAAAGCUUUAUUGUGGUUUUGGAUGGACUCGCGGCCUAUCAGCUUGUUGGUGAGGUAAUGGCUCACCAAGGCGACGACGGGUAGCCGGCCUGAGAGGGUGACCGGCCACACUGGGACUGAGACACGGCCCAGACUCCUACGGGAGGCAGCAGUGGGGAAUAUUGCACAAUGGGCGAAAGCCUGAUGCAGCGACGCCGCGUGAGGGAUGACGGCCUUCGGGUUGUAAACCUCUUUCAGUAGGGAAGAAGCGAAAGUGACGGUACCUGCAGAAGAAGCGCCGGCUAACUACGUGCCAGCAGCCGCGGUAAUACGUAGGGCGCAAGCGUUAUCCGGAAUUAUUGGGCGUAAAGAGCUCGUAGGCGGUUUGUCGCGUCUGCCGUGAAAGUCCGGGGCUCAACUCCGGAUCUGCGGUGGGUACGGGCAGACUAGAGUGAUGUAGGGGAGACUGGAAUUCCUGGUGUAGCGGUGAAAUGCGCAGAUAUCAGGAGGAACACCGAUGGCGAAGGCAGGUCUCUGGGCAUUAACUGACGCUGAGGAGCGAAAGCAUGGGGAGCGAACAGGAUUAGAUACCCUGGUAGUCCAUGCCGUAAACGUUGGGCACUAGGUGUGGGGGACAUUC
RNAcentral lists this ribosomal RNA (663 nucleotides) under Arthrobacter ginsengisoli. RNAcentral's name for it is "bacterial SSU rRNA". It matches the Rfam family "Bacterial small subunit ribosomal RNA", at positions 159 to 834 of the family's 1533-position model. Lineage: Bacteria; Bacillati; Actinomycetota; Actinomycetes; Micrococcales; Micrococcaceae. The record is from RNAcentral.